CCGCUGUGUUCUGGUCCUUCACGAACUCGGACAGGUGGGAAUACACCAAACGCUCAGAUGAAACUCCGAGACAUUCGAAGAAAGUGUGUGCCAAUGAAAACGCUAAGAGGCGGAUGUACAUGCACCCAGCCAAUGGGUACAAGAUGUAAACAGAGUUUGCCCACCGCCAGAGAAGAAAUUGCCGCGGCAGUGCCUGUAGACACAGUGGGGCCACCAAAAUGUUUUGCCCGCGAGGUGGGGGGCCCAACCAAAUCUUGCCUAGGCCCACCCAAAGGCCAAGGCCGGCCCUGGAUGCACCAAGCACACUGGUUUAGUGUGGAAGGCAUGAUAUAGUCUGUGUACAGUGUUAUUUUGGACUGCUUUGAGGGUGUGUUCUUUCUGAGCACCAUGCUAAAUGAUGAAAUUCAGAGUGGUGUGUGUGCAAUACCCUCAUCCUAUGAAUCACUAGUAUUCCUUUUAGUCUCACAACAGUGGGGGGCUGGAGAAGGGGUUGCUCACUGCAGCCUACAUUUGUUUUAGUUUUAACAUUUGACCAUGUUUUUUUUGUUUUGUUUUUCCUCAGUGAUGGAAUGUACUACAAAAAAGUACAUUUUUUCCCCCUUGACAAUGAUUUGAAAUGUAUUUUAUUUCAAUGAAUGUCUGAGGUAAUAAUGAUAAUGUUACUGUAUCCAAUUUAUUUUGUUACUGUAUAGAUUUUCUGAGGGAGUAUGUGAGAUAGGCAUCCAGCACACUCAAAAGUGCAUUAUAGGAUCUGUGCCUUCAGGGUAAAACUAUUGGAGACACAGCCAGAGGAAACUCAUAUCUCUUCAUUUUCCCUAGGUAUUUAUCUUCCAAAUGUACACGUGAAUUUGAGAACCAUUUAAAACACAAAACACUCCACUGAACUGUCUGCCUCCUACUGAAAGGAUGUGCAGUUAAAAAUAGUGUGCAGGUCAAGGUUCAUCUCUCAGCCUGGCUAGCUGGUUGUACAUAAGUUGAUGGAGCCAGCCUGUUAACAAACAAGCGGUGGACAUCAACAGGCUCACUCCCUGCUGUAUUUACCAAGGAGCCUUCUGGCAUCGCAAGGCUUCUCCAUGUCUCCCUGCGGCUGCUCCCCCGAUACACAGCCCUAAUGAACCCUGGGCCUCUCAUCAGCCCUGCAACACUGGGAGGCAGACCACCCCGACACACGCACACACACAGGCACAGAGGCACAUGCACACACACAGGCACAAACGCACGUACCCACAGACAUGGACACACACAAAUACACAGACAUGGACAGAUACACAAAAUUGCAAUGAAGGUCUCCUCUAAAACCAGACUUUAGGCAUUGUAGAAGACACCGCACAGAGUAGCCCUAAAGCCAGAGUGAGCUGAGGACAACCUUACAUUGAAGUACCUGUGUGCGUGUGUUUAAAUAAACCAGAGAUGUUUAAACCUGUGUGACUUGUGUGUAUGUGGGUGGUAGGAGGUAGCGCUAUACCCCUGGGCACUGGCUCCGAACCUGCCACACACACUUGCCCAUCUCCGCUUGAUGGGGCAAACAGCGUCGGGAUGAGUGAGUGUGUCUGCCGCGGAAUCUUGUUGAAGCCGCCUACUGGCGCGGCCACAAUUUUCCCGGACAGGUGGGUCCCAAAGGCAAAGUGCUUAGUGAUCAGGAGCAAACCCCAGCGAGCGGCUACAAGGAGAUUCAUGAUCCCAACAGUGCUGAGCGGGACAGGUUCGCCGCAACGCGUCGUCAGCCCGGAUGAGAGGCAAAUUUAUUGGGCAACGGUUAUGAAGCGAGGCAGCGGAGCGUAGUGGCAGCGGAGCGUAGUGGCAACAACAGUUCUACACGGAAUGGCGAAGGAAGGUGUCACAGUCAUCA
Long non-coding RNA from Oncorhynchus tshawytscha (Chinook salmon), 1849 nucleotides. The record is from Ensembl. Lineage: Eukaryota; Metazoa; Chordata; Actinopteri; Salmoniformes; Salmonidae.